AAAAAAAAAAAAAAAACACUGUUUGAAAGAAAUGUAGAAAGAUCAACGCAGAAUAAUAGGAAACAAAAAAUAAAAGCUAGGGUUUGAAGGCCUAAAAAAGGGAGUCCAUGGGAAGUUACAGAGAGAACAGACAGUUUGUCUGUGAGUUUCUCUGGAUUAUUUCCUUCUGUUUGGAGGUUAGUUUAGCGACGAAGCCAAUAUUUUAGAGAGAAUAUGGAGGGAAAAAAAAAUAAAAAGGAAUCCAAACAACGAAAUAAAUGCUUUAUUGAAUCUUUCGGUCUAAAUUUAUUUAUUUUAUUUUAAUUUCUUAAAGUUUGUUGCUGGUAACGGAUUUGGUCAUGGACGGCGUUGAUGGAUUGUGCUUUAAACAAAAGGCAAACAGCAAGAAACAGGUACUCAG
RNAcentral lists this unclassified non-coding RNA (400 nucleotides) under Hevea brasiliensis (rubber tree). The record is from RNAcentral. Lineage: Eukaryota; Viridiplantae; Streptophyta; Magnoliopsida; Malpighiales; Euphorbiaceae.